RNAcentral lists this ribosomal RNA (246 nucleotides) under uncultured Lactobacillus sp. Its description in RNAcentral is "partial 16S ribosomal RNA". It matches the Rfam family "Bacterial small subunit ribosomal RNA", at positions 116 to 356 of the family's 1533-position model. The record is from RNAcentral. Lineage: Bacteria; Bacillati; Bacillota; Bacilli; Lactobacillales; Lactobacillaceae.
CGUGGGUAACCUGCCCAAGAGAUCGGGAUAACACCUGGAAACAGAUACUAAUACCGGAUAACAACAGAUGAUGCCUAUCAACUGUUUAAAAGAUGGUUCUGCUAUCACUCUUGGAUGGACCUGCGGUGCAUUAGCUAGUUGGUAGGGUAACGGCCUACCAAGGCGAUGAUGCAUAGCCGAGUUGAGAGACUGAUCGGCCACAUUGGGACUGAGACACGGCCCAAACUCCUACGGGAGGCAGCAGCG